Suncus etruscus (white-toothed pygmy shrew) is the source of this 110-nucleotide small nuclear RNA. The record is from RefSeq and is a predicted model, not a curated record. NCBI's taxonomy places the organism in Eukaryota, Metazoa, Chordata, Mammalia, Eulipotyphla, Soricidae.
UGUUCCCUUCGAUUUGGCAGCACAUUACUAAAAUUAGAAUGACACAGAGAAGAUUAACAUGGCCUCUGCGUAAGGAUGGCAUGCAAAUUCGUGAAGCGUUUCAUAUUUUU